AGCCCUUUCCAUUACUACCCACUGACCACAGUGUGAGCAAAAGUUUCUGUGACCUCAUUUAUCUGUUAAUUCAGAACGCUGAGCAUCCUGAAGUACUUCAGUUUGCCCCUUGUCUUGAGUUUACACAAGGCACACACACACAGGGCAGGGCCCCAUUAAGGAAAUCUCAUUUCGGGGACAGGAGAGGAAGAUGAUCAGCGUGCACCUUAGAGCGAUACAGCAAAUUUCAGUACUGUGCUCACCAUGGUGGGAUGCGGACAUCAUUCUGAAGUUGGUGCAGGGAAAAAGCGUGUUUAGAAACACGUCGAACCUCCCCAUCCCAAGCCUGCACCUCCUGCUUCCGGGAAGCUGAGUCUGCUGUAAGGAUGGCUUCAACCGCACUGGCAAUCCUGUCUCUGACCAUGUCAGGUAGUCCCUCCAGCCCAUCACGGGGAAUAUCCAAAUGUUCCGGGAAAAUUACUAUUUUUACAUCUUCAUCAUAUUCAAACUUUUCCUCUGUGAUGUCAAAUCCACCUUCUACACCAAUAGCCAAGCGAGUUGGUUUCUUCCUUGGGGGGUCCCCGGCACUGGAAUUAGCAUCUUCUUCCUUCGGUUUACGUGUUCUUUUGAGGUGCAGAUAGACCCGCUGGCCUGUUUUCUGGUAGUGCUUUUCCACAUACUGUUUCCCAAAGCCCAGGAACGUGUUCAUGCAGAUAUAUAAGCCGCCAUCGGAUUCCGGCGUGUCGAAGGAGAAGGCGCACUCGUCCUUAUGGACCCGGUCGCCGGCCUUAGGCACCCGGAUGGACGGCAACACCGAGAGCAGCGCUUCGCUCAGCUCCGC
Molecule: long non-coding RNA, 820 nt
Filed under: Gallus gallus (chicken)
Lineage: Eukaryota; Metazoa; Chordata; Aves; Galliformes; Phasianidae
Source: RNAcentral